RNAcentral lists this ribosomal RNA (469 nucleotides) under Sinorhizobium sp. 10410. RNAcentral describes it as "bacterial SSU rRNA". It matches the Rfam family "Bacterial small subunit ribosomal RNA", at positions 1 to 522 of the family's 1533-position model. Lineage: Bacteria; Pseudomonadati; Pseudomonadota; Alphaproteobacteria; Hyphomicrobiales; Rhizobiaceae. The record is from RNAcentral.
UGGAGAGUUUGAUCCUGGCUCAGAACGAACGCUGGCGGCAGGCUUAACACAUGCAAGUCGAGCGCCCCGCAAGGGGAGCGGCAGACGGGUGAGUAACGCGUGGGAAUCUACCCUUUUCUACGGAAUAACGCAGGGAAACUUGUGCUAAUACCGUAUACGCCCUUCGGGGGAAAGAUUUAUCGGGAAAGGAUGAGCCCGCGUUGGAUUAGCUAGUUGGUGGGGUAAAGGCCUACCAAGGCGACGAUCCAUAGCUGGUCUGAGAGGAUGAUCAGCCACAUUGGGACUGAGACACGGCCCAAACUCCUACGGGAGGCAGCAGUGGGGAAUAUUGGACAAUGGGCGCAAGCCUGAUCCAGCCAUGCCGCGUGAGUGAUGAAGGCCCUAGGGUUGUAAAGCUCUUUCACCGGUGAAGAUAAUGACGGUAACCGGAGAAGAAGCCCCGGCUAACUUCGUGCCAGCAGCCGCGGUA